AUUGAACGCUGGCGGCAGGCUUAACACAUGCAAGUCGAGCGGUAGCACAGGGGAGCUUGCUCCCUGGGUGACGAGCGGCGGACGGGUGAGUAAUGUCUGGGAAACUGCCUGAUGGAGGGGGAUAACUACUGGAAACGGUAGCUAAUACCGCAUAACGUCGCAAGACCAAAGAGGGGGACCUUCGGGCCUCUUGCCAUCAGAUGUGCCCAGAUGGGAUUAGCUAGUAGGUGGGGUAAUGGCUCACCUAGGCGACGAUCCCUAGCUGGUCUGAGAGGAUGACCAGCCACACUGGAACUGAGACACGGUCCAGACUCCUACGGGAGGCAGCAGUGGCGAAUAUUGCACAAUGGGCGCAAGCCUGAUGCAGCCAUGCCGCGUGUGUGAAGAAGGCCUUCGGGUUGUAAAGCACUUUCAGCGAGGAGGAAGGUGGUGAGCUUAAUACGUUCAUCAAUUGACGUUACUCGCAGAAGAAGCACCGGCUAACUCCGUG
Molecule: ribosomal RNA, 490 nt
Filed under: uncultured bacterium
Lineage: Bacteria
Description: partial 16S ribosomal RNA
Rfam family: Bacterial small subunit ribosomal RNA
Source: RNAcentral